GGAGGAUAUUUCGGGAAUGCAUGUGAAGGGGCUAACAAACAUGUAAAUGGGAGGGAAAAUCUGUAUUAAGAGUAGUAGCAGCAUGUAAGGGGUAUGCUGAAUAGUUAUUUGCAAUUACUAGCUUUUGAAGCUGGGUGGGCAGUAGACAUUCUGCCAGGGAAAUUCACUCUUGUGUUGAGACUGAGACUGAUUUCCUUGUUAUUCAAAACAAUUCCUCCUUUCCCAACCCUGUUUCCUCCUUCCUAUUCUCUGGUUGUUGUGUUUGGCUAAGUGCAGGUCCUCAAUCUAUC
Molecule: unclassified non-coding RNA, 290 nt
Filed under: Hevea brasiliensis (rubber tree)
Lineage: Eukaryota; Viridiplantae; Streptophyta; Magnoliopsida; Malpighiales; Euphorbiaceae
Source: RNAcentral